AUGGCCGCUAAUCAUAAGGCUCACUCUGGUGAGAACGAAAGUCAGCAGAAAAAAUCCAGUAGGACUGCUAAGCGACCACUUGAGAAUGAAAGGGAGCCCUUGGUGGAUGAAAGUGAGCAACCAAGCAAGAAAGUAAAGUUCUCUGUUGGUGAAAAAGUUUGGGCAUUGUAUAAGGAUGGACAUUCCUACAAGGCCAGGAUUAUAAGGAUUAACAAAAAUUCCUACAGGGUGAAGUAUAUUCAAGAUGGAGUGGUCCAUGAUGUGGAUGGUGAAGGACUCGUUACUUAUGGUUGAAUUACCAGAAAUUUUCAUCUUAUGAACACAAUAGAGAUGUUAGAUCUUAAUCAAACUUGCACUUGUAUCAAUCCUUACGAGAACCAGUCAGAUUCCAUAUUACAAAAUCCUAUGAACUGAUUUUAUGUCAAAUUAACUUCCUCUGUUUCAAAUUAAAAUAGGUAUGUCCCAGUAACUAAUGAAGAUGCUGAUUUGAAAACUAUCAGGGGAGAAUAAUUAACUAUUACAAAUAACCUCACUUUAUUUUUAUGUUUUAUAUAUAUUGCAUGCAUGACCAUCUUGUUUUCUGUGCUAGCAUCUUUUAUACUUUGUAAUACCAUUUUGUAAUUUCAUCCAGUUUUGUGAGGCAUAGUUUUAUUUGAUUUUUGAACUGGUUGUGACUUUGGGUAGAUUGACGGGGGCAGUCUGUCGUGUCAAUUACCUCCCUUUGUUUCAAAUUAAAAUACUAGGUUUAUUUCAGUAAGUAAUAAAGAUGUUUUGAAAUUUGAUUUAUACCCUGGGAUGGACUCGGACAAUCAGGGUACAUAACUAUGGACUAAUUUUUGUCAGAUUACCUCCCUUUGUUUCAAAUUAAAAUGGAUAUAUCUCAGUAGCUAAUGAAGAUACUGAUGUGGAAAUUCAUUAAUGAUGAAAGAUGGGCUCAGACAAUCAAGAAAGAUAACUGUUGACAAAUUACCUCCCUUUAUUUUUAUAUUGCAUAUAUUGCAUGGCCCUCUUGUUUACUGACCUAGCUU
Molecule: long non-coding RNA, 1028 nt
Organism: Mercenaria mercenaria
Lineage: Eukaryota; Metazoa; Mollusca; Bivalvia; Venerida; Veneridae
Exons: 4
Source: RefSeq, a predicted model, not a curated record